Molecule: ribosomal RNA, 197 nt
Filed under: uncultured bacterium
Lineage: Bacteria
Description: partial 16S ribosomal RNA
Rfam family: Bacterial small subunit ribosomal RNA
Source: RNAcentral
ACUCCUACGGGAGGCAGCAGUGGGUAAUUUUGGGCAAGGCAGGCAAGCGUGAUCCAGCCCUGCCGCGUGAGUGAAGAAGGCCUUCGGGUUGUAAAGCUCUUUCGGCCGGGAAGAAAUCGCAUUCUCUAAUAUAGGAUGUGGAUGACGGUACCGGACUAAGAAGCACCGGCUAACUACGUGCCAGCAGCCGCGGUAAU